This 58-nucleotide transfer RNA is filed under the name Heterocephalus glaber (naked mole-rat). It matches the Rfam family "tRNA", at positions 1 to 55 of the family's 71-position model. Rfam says of the family: Transfer RNA (tRNA) molecules are approximately 80 nucleotides in length. Lineage: Eukaryota; Metazoa; Chordata; Mammalia; Rodentia; Bathyergidae. The record is from Rfam by way of RNAcentral.
GGGACUGUAGCUCAGUGGUAGAGAGCACUUGCCUGGCAAGCAUGAGGCCCUAGUUUCC